RNAcentral lists this ribosomal RNA (860 nucleotides) under uncultured bacterium. Its description in RNAcentral is "bacterial SSU rRNA". It matches the Rfam family "Bacterial small subunit ribosomal RNA", at positions 28 to 898 of the family's 1533-position model. The record is from RNAcentral.
AACGAACGCUGGCGGCAGGCUUAACACAUGCAAGUCGAGGGGUAGUCAUCUUCGGAUGAUGAGACCGGCGCACGGGUGCGUAACGCGUAUACAAUCUACCUUUUACAGAGGGAUAGCCCAGAGAAAUUUGGAUUAAUACCUCAUAGUAUAACGACUCGACAUCGAGAUGUUAUUAAAGUCACAACGGUGAAAGAUGAGCAUGCGUCCCAUUAGCUAGUUGGUAUGGUAGCGGCAUACCAAGGCGACGACGGGUAGCCGGCCUGAGAGGGCGACCGGCCACACUGGGACUGAGACACGGCCCAGACUCCUACGGGAGGCAGCAGUGAGGAAUAUUGGUCAAUGGGCGCAAGCCUGAACCAGCCAUGCCGCGUGCAGGAUGAAGCAUCUAUGGUGUGUAAACUGCUUUUGUACGAGAAGAAACACUCCUACGUGUAGGAGCUUGACGGUAUCGUAAGAAUAAGGAUCGGCUAACUCCGUGCCAGCAGCCGCGGUAAUACGGAGGGUCCAAGCGUUAUCCGGAAUCAUUGGGUUUAAAGGGGUCCGUAGGCGGUUUAAUAAGUCAGUGGUGAAAUCUCCCCGCUCAACGGUGGAACGGCCAUUGAUACUGUUAGACUUGAAUUAUUAGGAAGUAACUAGAAUAUGUAGUGUAGCGGUGAAAUGCUUAGAGAUUACAUGGAAUACCAAUUGCGAAGGCAGGUUACUACUAAUUGAUUGACGCUGAUGGACGAAAGCGUGGGUAGCGAACAGGAUUAGAUACCCUGGUAGUCCACGCCGUAAACGAUGGAUACUAGCUGUUGAAGCAAUUUCAGUGCUAAGCGAAAGUGAUAAGUAUCCACCUGGGAGUACGUUCGCAGAAUGAA